This 999-nucleotide long non-coding RNA is filed under the name Eucalyptus grandis. RNAcentral describes it as "long non-coding RNA (EGRA_LNC002732)". Lineage: Eukaryota; Viridiplantae; Streptophyta; Magnoliopsida; Myrtales; Myrtaceae. The record is from RNAcentral.
UUGUCUCCCAAUGUUGUAACUUAAUGAUAGUAAGUCAUGUGGAUUCAGCAUCUUCAAGAAUGAAUUUGUAACUAGGAUCUAGAUCAUCAACCAAAGAAGCGGAUAUGUAUUUACCAAAAUUUAUCAAAGUUACCUGGUAGAUAAGAACGUCUUAUUGGCUGUGAUCAUCACAAACUUCGCUUAGCUAUAAACAAGGUGAAGAUUGCUAGAAAGAAAGACUUGAGAGUCCACCGUUUAAGCCAAAGGCUUUUGAUAAUAUACUUCUCCGCCUCUUUCCAAUUUCCGCGGCAGGUAUGACUCUCCUUAGUGACAUCCAUUGCUGCUGGUUUGGAGAAGAUUGAGUGAGAAUGAUCCACCAUUGAGUUUGAUAACUAGGAUUGUUGUUUGUAAAAUUCUAAACAUAAGUGAACAUGUCGAACAAGUAAUAUAAUGAUAAGAAAGAAUAUCGUCCCACGGAGAUCGUCCUGCUUGGGAGGAGACCCUUCAUUUCCCUGUAGCACGUCCCUGUGUUUCAAGGGGGAAGGCGUCGCGGGGAUCCAGGCGGGGUUACCCUGGGAAACCCUUUACAGGGUUUCCCUUGUGGCCGGGUCCCCAUGGGGGUUCCAUUUUUAUCGAGGGGGAACCCCUCCCUCUAUCCUGUCUUUCCAGGAUGUCAAAGCCUUUUAAGAUCUUGCUUAGGACCAGAUCAUCAACCAAAGAAGCGGAUAUGUAUUUACCAAAAUUUAUCAAAGUUACCUGGUAGAUAAGAACGUCUUAUUGGCUGUGAUCAUCACAAACUUCGCUUAGCUAUAAACAGGGUGAAGAUUGCUAGAAAGAAAGACUUGAGAGUCCACCAUUUAAGCCAAAGGCUUUUGAUAAUCGUGGACAAAAUACAUAUACUUCUCCGCCUCUUUCCAAUUUCCGCGGCAGGUAUGACUCUCCUUAGUGACAUCCAUUGCUGCUGGUUUGGAGAAGAUUGAGUGAGAAUGAUCCACCAUUGAGUUUGAUAACUAGGAUUGU